This is a non-coding RNA of Oryctolagus cuniculus (rabbit), 957 nucleotides long. NCBI's taxonomy places the organism in Eukaryota, Metazoa, Chordata, Mammalia, Lagomorpha, Leporidae. The record is from RefSeq and is a predicted model, not a curated record.
CAUUUACUUCUUAACAUUUAAAAAAAAAGCUGUAACUGUAGAUUCCUGUUUAUGAGAUUUCAAGACUUCUCCAAACUGGAACUCUCAAAACGUUACAUUAUAAAUUAUUUGGAAUUUUCUCUUUGUAGAAUCAAGCAUGUCAAGCAUUCCGUAUGUCAUAUGAUUCAGGCAUCUAGUAAAGCCUUCCCUUCUUGUGCUUAGUUGUAAAAAGAUGAAGACAUUUGCUGGGUUUCCCUGUUGCUUUAAUCAGUGGGCAUCCGACAGGUGCUUUCAUUUUCCUGGCCUUGAAAUCUUUCUGGAUGGGAUGUGGGAGAAAAAAAUUGCAAAUGCCUUUAGUUCACAAAUAAAUCUUUGCUCCCUUUCUUCUCUGUUUCUUUUUGGAUUCUUAGCACACUGCCUUCCUAUUCCCCUUCAACACACACUCACAUGUACAUGUGCACCUCCAAAGUUCUUGUUCUUUUUCUCCUAUCCAGGGUGGGAAGAAGCUCUCAACAUGAGCAAGCUGAUUUGCAGCCACCAUCCCUGCCAUGGGUGUGGGCACGACCUGACUGUCCUCAGUUUCUAUAGCACACAGAUAUUCUAAGAAGAGUGGAAUGGCACAGUUCUUGUGCAAAUGUCCAGAAGGCAUUGCGUGUGUGAAGAUGACACCAUGAGAAGUGGCGAGGAACCACUGUACCUCUGUGCAUGGAGUUUGUGGUAUCCUCAUCCACAGUGGAUCUGCAGAUUCAUUCCUGUUCCUGAGCGGGGCUACUGUCUUACCAUGUGAUCUGUGUGCAUGGGUUGGUGUUGUUAUUCCUGCUCUACCCAGGAGGGUCCCGAUGAGGCUGGGAGACUCUGCCUGAGGGCGUGAGAUUGCCCAGGCUGGGGGAAGCUAGCUGCUAUGAUGUGAAUUAGCUCCUGAAGAAGCAAACACGAGUGAGUUUGAAAACAGCUCUUCUGAGGCCCACCAAAAGCCAG